CAUUUCCUAUUCUUUUAAAAUUUGGGCCAGCUGAUCCGCUCAUCCAGCCCAUACCCCAACAGCCCAAUAUAACAACAUCAACAUAACAGCCCCAAUUGUUUUCCCUUUUUUAAACUGGCAAACAGGCCCAAUCCGUUCUACCCAACCAGCCCACCAGCAGCUCCCACCAACACACCGACCCAACAGGCCCAAUACCCCUGACCCGCUCCAAGCCCCGCUCCCAUUCCCUUUUUACCCACAUCUCAAUCCAAACAGCAACAUCAGUUUUCAACAAACAACAAUUAACGACAACAGCCAACGACUUCAAAACCAGGACCAACAAAUUCAACAUUGUCAACUGCAAUCUCGACAACAACAACCAGCGAGUCAACAACGGUGACCCCCCAGACGCCCUUUUACUAUUUUGCCCCUCCGUUCAGCCAUCUAUGGCAAAAAUUAAAUGGGUUACUCUUUCUCAGUCUUUGAUUCACCAUUUCGGGUAAGCAAUUAAUGCCCAACGGCUCUCUACUUUGUCUCACUGUGGAAUUCAAAGUUUCUCAACAAAUCAACUCAAAUUCCCAAUUCGAAUGGUUUCCUCGAGAAUUAAUGCCCAACGGCUCUCUAACAAGUUGAAAACGAAACUCCGGCGGUGGUAAGUCUUUAAUCGACUCGCAGUUCCAGUUCGCUGCCCCGGGAAAGGUAAAUUCUCCAUCUUGCUUUUCUCCUUAGUUUACUAUUUUCGUCGUUUCUAUUUUAUUAUUGCGGUUCAGGAAGGGUGCUUGAUGUUUUCUGUUGGUGGUAUUGUUGCUGUAGUUAGACAUUCUGAAGCUGAAUUUUGUUUGGUUGCUAUGUUUAGUUCCUUGCUCUGUCGGUGGUCUUGCUGCUAUAGUCGAUUUUUUUUUAUUUUUUUUUAAUAUUUGUGAUUCUAGUGUUAAGCUGUAGUUGAAUCUCACAACUAGUGCAAGAGUGACUAUGGUUUCAUUUGAGAUUUAUGAUUAUCAUUGUGUCGUGCGAAAGUUUCAAGCUUUGAUUAUUCGUGAGGAUGUGAAGUUGUUUCUCUGCUGUCUUUAGAACAAGGAAAAUAAGUCUUUCAAAUAAAGUGAUUUCUUCUUCAUGAAACUACUCUUUCUCGAAAAACAGUGAAGGUAUUGAUGCUUCUUAUUCCUUGUUUCCAUUGCUAUCCAUAUUGAUUAUUAUUGUUCAUAAGCCUAUCAAAUAGACUUAGUUUCCCUAAAAUUGCCUUGUUAUUGGUAUUAUUAUUUAAAAUUGUGUAAUGUGUUUUCUAGAGUUGGCAUGAUUAAUUCACUUUCCGGUAAGUGAUCUUGAGGCUGCCGUUAUAUGUCCAAUAAGUAUUUUCAAAUUAUCACUGCCUCAUCUUCUUUGACCACGUAUGAUAGAAUAUAUCUCUCGGUUGAUCGUGGGGUGUGCAAAAAUAGAAUCGACUAAUAAAUCGAACCGAUAAAAAUGUUAUUGGAUUAUUGGGUUUAAGGGUUCUUAUUAGUUUUAUAAAAAAAAUGUAUUGGGUAAAUGGUUCGGUUUCUGUUUUAGCUUACUGGGACCGAUAACCCAAUAAGGAUACACUAAAUUAUUGUUUUGUAUCCCUAUUUAUAUUAUGUAUAUAAAUCUCUCUCUCUAUAUAUAUUAUAUGCACUACUUAUUCACAGUUCAGCGAAUCACAAAGUAUUAACCUAUUCAGGGCAACAAAGGCACAAUAUAAAACUGGGCUAUUAUAGUAUUGAAAAGCUUGAAGCAUUUAUAGCUUCCAACAAUUAGGAUUCAAGUUUUUUCUGAACUAACAUUCAGUUCAAGUUUGAAGAUUUUUGUAAGCUAAAAUGCAUUGCGUAGGAUUUUGGCGAUCACUAAGAUUUCAUUUUUUUAUAUUAGUUGUUACUAUUUCUAUUCUAUAAGUAUUUUCUUAUUGGUUAAAUCGAAAAUCGAACCGUUAAGGAUCAAAAACUGACCGAUAAGAAAGUGUCUUAUUGGUUGGUUAUUGAUUUUACAUAUUUAAAAAUAAAAAACUGAUAAAUCGAACCAAUAACACAUAAAACCGAAUCAAACCGACCGAUGAACACCCCUAGUUGAUUGUUAUGUAUUGAUGACUUCAUCGGUGUAAAUAUAUGCGUGAAAAUGUAAGUGUGGGAUAGCAUGUUUGAUUGGUAUACGCCUAUGAAAUAAUAUGAAUCAAUUGUUGUACAGUAGCAUUUGUUAACUUAUCCACCUGCUUUGUUAGUUUGCUUUGGUUUAUACAUACUUGAGUAUUAAUUGUGCAUCUCAUCUUUAAAUUGAUAGCUAAACCUUAUCUUUUCUUUCUUUUGCAUGAACCCAUAUUGAAUGAGUCCACUUGGACUCCAUCUAUCCUCGCAUUCGAAUUUCGUCAUGUCCGAGCCUCAAUCAAAGUCUUAAAUACCUUUAUUUUUGAAGAAACAAGGCUGUAUACACGUGUAUACAACAGAUAUACGCAUAUAUUUGGCAAGAAUGAAAAGGGAAGCUGAUUAUAUCGUGAAGGGACUAAAUAUGUGUGUAUAUGACUGAGAUAAAGUCGCAUAUACACCAAGUAUACAAGAAAAACACAGAUAUUGAAGCUGUAAAUAUACAUCUGGUAUACAUUUUAGAAAAUGGACCCAAGUUCAUAAGAAUGAGGUCCAAAAGCUGGACAGCUUGUUAAUGGGCCAAUAAAGGCCCAAAUCUCAAGCUUCUGUUCUCUUUUUCCUUGUAUGUUAUUGUUGUUAAUAUGUAGUAACUCUAAUUUUAUUUACUUAAAUUAAGUAAUUCCUUAAAUUGCCGUCAUUCUAUUUUAUCCUGAUUUUGUCACUUAACCUAUAAUUUUCUCACAUAAUUUUACAUUAUCUAAAAUGAAUUUAACUGAUUCCCUCAAUUUUCUCUUUAAAACAAGUCAUUAAAAGUCAAGUAUUUUGUUCCGAAAUGACCUUCAUUAUAUUCAUAUGACUAAACAACCUAUUUGAAUUAAAAUAACAUCCUUUAAACUCAAGAAACUAAAUUUUCUUGUUAGUUUUAACUUUUCAUAAGUAAUAAGAUAUUUUUAAUUUAACACUCUCUUAGCAUUUCUUCCAAAAGAAUCUUUUAUAACAUAAUUGACUUUUCUAUAAUAAUAAGAAAAUAAUUUCAUAACCUUUUUCUCCUACAAAAGAAAAAUUCAGUUUUCUCCUGAGUUCGGAAAUUUAUAAUUUAGUUGAAUAAAAACUAAAUUGUUUUCUCCUGCGAAUAAAUAAAUAUCAUUUUUAAAUGUUAAAUAAAUAAUUUUAAUAUUUUCUAUAAAAUUAAGUCUUUGCAAAAGAAAAUUAACCACUUUAAUUAGCCCAGUUAGUUUUUUUUGGUAAACCAUUUUAAACGGACGCUCCUAAGUGCCUUAAAAAACUUCUUAGGGCAUUAAUGAACCCUUACCCAGAAUCUCUAGUUUUAAAGGUUUAUUUCUGUUUUUGAACCUUUGAAACUUUUUAAUUUUUAUUUUAUUUUUUCUAUAAAAAUCAAGUGGCGACUCUGUGAAUUUUCUUAAAAUUAUUUCAAAAAAAAUUCAGAACUUUUGAAAUAGUUUUAAAGAAAAUCAAAACCAUUUUCUCGUCAAAUAAAACUCGAAAGGUAUAAAACAUAUUGAUCAUAAAAUUAAGGCUUAUGUAUCAUGGAAAGCAUUAGGAGCAACACGCUGAGCAUGGGAGAAGUAGAACAAAGCUUGGAAAGCAUGGGACAAAGUACGAAAGAAUGAUGACAUAAAUUGAACUGGAAAUGUAGAAGCUGACAUUGUGUCGUGCUAUGCCCCUUAGUCACCGCGAUAAGGGGAUGGUACAUUUGUGGUUAAUUUUCGGUUAAUUUUCAUGUGGCACAUUCCAGUCGGCAAUCCUAAUAUUGGUGUGCCAUGGCUCUUAGUCACCGCUAUAAGGGCAUAGCACAAUGAAGGCUUAAAAGCGAAAUGGCACUUUCUAGUAGGCCUCUGCGUUAUCAAUGUGCCACAACCCUUAGUAACCAUGAUAAGGGUGUGGUCUGUUGAUGUGUUAAAAAUGUGCAGUCCAAACCUACUAUAAAAGGAACACUUGUAAUAUUUGAGGACAUUUUUGGCUUACGUGAAGGCAAGGAGAAACACUUACGAGGCUUUGUUUAGGGUUAUUUUACUAUUGAACUUUCUUACUUUAAAUUUGGUAUGACUAUUUCUAUUUCGUGGAUGAUGAUUUCAAACAUGAGUGGAUAAAGUCCCUCGUUUUGGAUUUGAGGCCAAACGUAUAAUUGUAUUUCAAUAUUCUUAGAGUUGGUUAAACAUUGGUUAUUCAUAUAGGUUAUUCUUAAUCUCUUGCUCUUACUAUUUUAAUAAUUGACCACCAUUGAAAUACAUGUUUAAUCUUCUUCAGAACCCAAAAGAAGGAAAAUUAGGAUAGAUCGAAAGGGUUUAAGGAGCAAGUUCUUAUCUUUUAAAUACCAAAGGAUUUGAAUUAGAGUCUAGGAUAGAAAUAUACCUAGAACGCCUUGUUUGGUUCAAUUGCGGGGAGAUAAAGCAUCUAAAAUGAAUUAUCGUAUCCCCGUUCAACGAUGUAGAUGUGAUGUCCUUUUGUGUAGAAGAUCAGAGGCUUGAAAGACCAUAAUCAUAAUAUUAAUGUUGUGAAUCAACAAUCCGGUAACCAGCACAACCAACAAUAAGGAUAUCGAUUUACAUGAUUGCAGAAAGUGUCUUAGCCCUAGAAUUUCCUCUCAUAUUUUUACAUCUUUGCCUACGUUGCUAUUGUCACACUUUGUUGUUCUCUUAUUGGUUAUUUAGUUACUAAACUUUCACAAAUAUUUUGAUACUCUACAACACUUAAAUAAAAUAUUAUCGAAAUUAAAAUUAAGUGAAUUGCUAAACAAGCAGUCCCUGGUUUAACAAUCGAUUCUUUUGAGUAGAAUUUCUCCUUCUACAUAGAAACUACAUUAUAAGAAUAGGUACCACCUAAUAAAUAACUUACACCUUAAGUACCCUCAGUGUUUCUCUACAUUCUCACAAUUUACUUCAGAUUGUAUCUUUGGACGAUUAUACCACCAACUCUAUAGUAGUAAUUCCAUACCUCUUCUGUUACUUUCCAUUUUAGGAAUAAGUGCUCAAUAGUUUCUCUCAUAGGGAUGUUACAACAUCUACAUUCCUACGAGAUACUUGAAUUCUAUGUAUGCAUUAAAGUUAUCGUUGGCACCUUUUAUGGCCAAACUCUCCAAGGAAGAAAUGAGAAUUUAAAUGGUAAUACGAUGCACCACAACUUCUCCAGGUCUUCAUCACCCUGUUCUCUUUGUCUCAACAUCUCCAAGCACUCUUAAUCAUGAAAUUCCCUCUGCUAGAUUUAGUCAACCAAGUUCUAUCUUCCAUGUCUUCAGGCUAACCAUCUUUUUUUACAUAAGUAACCACAUAUUCUCGGACUUCCUUUUGUAUUUUAAUAUAAUUCCACCCUCCUUACUAAAAAAAAUCCACUAUGUCAUUCAAAUGGUGAUGAGUCUGCACUUUUGAUGGUUGGUUAUGAAAAGGACAAGGAUUAGUCCACUUGUCAUACCACAUUAUAGAUGACCGGCCUUUUGGCUUCCAUCAAAGAAACUGUUCAAUAGACUCCCUAUUAUUUAACAUAGCCUUCCAUACUUGGGACCCACCAUUCCCUUGUACCAAAGUAGGAAUUUUCUUUUUGCAAUACUUAACCCAUAAGAAAUUUGUCCACAAAUUUCUUUGUGUUUUAAAUUUCCACCAUAAUUUAACAUGCAUUGCUUGUGAUACAUUAUUUAGGGAUCCAAAAUCUAGCCUACCCUUAUUUUUUGGGUAAACACACUUUAUCCCAGGUUGACUAGUGCUUGCUUCUUCCAUUCUCUUUUCUGUUCCAGAAUAAUUUAGCAAAAAUCAUUUGCAACUCCUUGAUAACACUUUUGAGGAAGUAUUGUUGAUAAGACAUAAGUAGGAAUGCUCCGCAACACACUUUUUAGAAAUACUUCUUUUCUACCAUAAGACAACAGCUUACCUUCCCAAAGUUGAAGUUUACCUCUGACUAUGUCCAAUAAAUCAGCAUCACAUUCACCUUUAGCCAUCCCGAUAUACUUCUCCACUUAUUUCCACACACCUAAAGGGGUGUUUUGAUGCAUAUAGAAAAGACUUUUAUCCAUAUUCACCUUUUGUCUAGAUUGUUGCUCAUACUCCUUCAAUACCUUCAUAAUUCUCUUUAAAGAAUAUUCAUUAGAGGAAGCAAAAAUUAUAGUGUCAUCAACAAAUGCUAAAUGGUUUAGAUUAAGACUCUACUUAAGGAUUUCAUAUCCUACAUAUGAUACAUCAUCAAAAAGGUAAUUAACGGCCCUUGAAAGAACUUCUACAGAUAGGAUAACGAGUGUUAGGGAUAGAGGAUCCCCUUGCUUCACCCUCUAGUAGAGUGAAAAAAUUCAACAGACUGACCAUUUUGUAGCAUAGAGUAGUAAUUAUUAGAAAAACCUCUAGACCACAUCUACCACCGUGUUAGAAAAACUUAUCUUUGUCAAGGCUUUUGUCAAGAAGAACCAUGAAAUCCCAUCAUAGGUUUUUUCCAUAUCCAGUUUCAAAACUACAUUUCCAGGUUGUCCUAUCUUUCUUAUAUUUGUAACCAACUCUUGAGCUAGUAAAACUUUUCCAAUAAUGCUCCUUCCUCUUAUAAAGCAAAACUAAUUGGAAGAUAUGAACCUAGGAAGAAUAUUUUUUUAUCUUUCAUGUAAAAUUCUUGAGAGAAUUUUAUCCAUAAAAUUACCUAAACUAAUUUUCCUCAAGUCUAAGAAAGAUUGUACAUUUUCUUUCUUAAGAAUAAGGACCAAAUUAGUGAGUACUCGAUUUUGGGAGAGUGCUACCUGCAUAAAAUCUCUAACCAUUCUGAUAAUAGCAAGCCUUACUAUCUCCCAACAACAUGAUUGAUAAAAUAUCUUAGAGAGUUCAUCAAGGCCACAUGUACUAUCACCAUUGAGGUUAAACACAACUUUCUUCACUUCUUCUUCAUCCAAAAUAGCCUCAAGAGCUGUAUUCUCCUCUUCAAUUAUUAACUCUGGAAUGUCAUAAAGUAAUGAGCAAUCAGUUACAUCUCUUUCUUGUGUAAACUACCUUUGAUAAAAAGAAACUUCUUCAUCUGCAAUAAGUUUCUCAUCCUCCAGCCAAUUCCCAUCAUUAUUUAAAAUUCUACUCAUUUUAACUGUUUCUUCUACCCUUAACAAUACUAUGAAAGAAUUUAGUAUUUGCAGCUCUACUUUGAGACUAGUCAUAACCCACCUUUGUUGUAAAUAACUCUCUUCUAAAUGCAAAUAUUUAGUGUAUUCAGCCUUAGAUCUUCGCAUAACUGCCCUACUCACUUGAGUAGAACUGUCUUUAAAUAAUUUUUCUUUAAUCUUUACUAUCUUCUCCCUCAUCAAUAGUUGUUGAAAGAUAUCACCAAAUAUUUCUUUACUCCACAAUGCAAGAGCAUUCUUCACCUGCUUGAUUUUUCUGUUAGACUCUAAAAAAGGAUUCCCUGAACAUCCAACAUCCUAAUUCAUUAUCACCACAUCUUUAAAUAUCUCAUGUUCUGUCCAGAAUUUUAGUAAUCUGAAAGGCUUCAUGACUCUUGUUGCCCUGUUCUAGAAAGUAACUAGUAAUGCAACAUUUUCAUAAUCAUCCAUGGGCAAAUGUUCCACCUCAACAUUAGAUCAUUGAUCUUGAAAGAGUGAAUUAGAUAGAAUUCUAUCCAGUCUUUCAAAAAUAUAGUCUAUCCCAUCUCUACCAUUUCACUAAGUGAAAUGACUUCUUCUAAAAUAGAUUGGCAUGAGAUCACUAGAUUCAAUACAAAUUUUGAAAUAAUUCACUUCUGUAUUACUCAUAGGAAGCUCACUAAUUUUUUCUAAUCCAUUAAGAACAACAUUGAAAUCACCACCUACUAUCCACGGUGUAUUCAAAUUAUUAGACAAUGCAAGAAUCUCCUCCCAUAAAGUCAAUCUAUGCUCCCUGUCACAUUUUUUGUACACACUAGUAACCAGAAAACUAGUGUUUUAAGGACACAUAUUUUUAGUAAAAUUGAGAGAUGUUGCUCUGUGUUGCUGAAUACUGUAGCAUCAAACCCGUGGUUGAUAAAGAACCAGAUUUAAUUAUUCAAGUUAUGAUAUACCAAUGACAUCUUCAAUCUAUUUCUAUAUCUAUGAAUAGUUCUUGUAUGCUGAAAUGGUUCCAAAAGUGUGAUAAAAGUAAAUUUAUGGAAAUUGUGUAGCAUCUGUACUCCCUGAAAAGCCUUUUGUGACUUAACAGAUCUAAUGUUCCACAUUAAGGCUUUUAUCAUCUUUUACUGUAUUUUGACACCAUAUUUCUUAUUGGUAGAACUUUGCUAGGUUGAGACCAAUAACCAUGCAUGUAAUUUUUUACUUUUUUUUUACAGAUUUAACUGAUUCUAUUGCUCGAAGGGAUAAGUCCGCUGAUCUACAAAUAUUAUCUUCAAUUUCUUUUGACUGACCUUCUUCACCUUAUCUGAUCUCAUAAUUUGCAACUUUUUCUUAACACAGUGAGGAAGAAUGUUAUAGAGCACUUCUUUAAACUUAUAACUCUACAGAAGAGAUAGAUGUGGGAAUAUCUACAAUAGCCAAAUCCUCAAUCCCAGAUGUAUGCAUUAUAAUCUCCUUAGCCCCUGAUUGUAUCUCCCAUUUCUUUGCUAUUGAGUUACAAGUCUCUAUGUUACAUUACCGCACAGCCACCAAACUUUGUGUUUAUCGUUGGUUAGAGUAUUCAACUCAAUGGAUUGAUCUUGUCUAUAGCAUUUAUCUACAACACCUUGCAUUUUUUCUUCUUCGAUAACAAGAAUUGACUUCUUCUCACUUCCUUCUUUUAUAGCAGGAUCUGUCGACAUCACACUUGUAACACAAGAAAGAGUCUUUUUUCCAUGAUCAGUUAAAAAAGCCUUGGAGACCCACUCCUUUGUUGAAAGUUACUCUACACUUUUCCCUUCUUUUAUGUUGUUCUUCUCCUCAUUCACCAUCUAUGUAAUAUUAUUAUUAGUUGUUGCAACUGAUUGUUCUUGAAUAUCAUCUGUCAGGGGUUGAAAUAAAUUCUCAUUGCUUUUAUCCU
This 9025-nucleotide long non-coding RNA is filed under the name Capsicum annuum. Its description in RNAcentral is "long non-coding RNA (CANN_LNC010905)". Lineage: Eukaryota; Viridiplantae; Streptophyta; Magnoliopsida; Solanales; Solanaceae. The record is from RNAcentral.